GGGAAAAAAUAAAUAUCUCAGAAUCUCCUAUACCUCAGAUUCCUUGAAAACUCAUGGUACGAAAUGAUCGACUGUCUGGUUGGUUCAGCACAGGGAAUAAAAACAGCUGAAAGAGGCAACAUGCACCAGACAGACACGAAUAGUAUUUUCAGCUCCCAGCUGCAAUUCUACAGCAAUAGAAACUUACAUAGGACACCCGUACUCGCCGGCGAUGCACCAGCCCGCAGCACUGCAUGAAGAGGGGGCAGAACGCAGUCAGCGUGUGGCUUCACCAAGCUGCACUGUGCCUUGUCUUCUCGUCACAGCCUCGGUCCAUUUCUUCCCACCUUCUACUCCCAGUAAUAGAGACAGACAUCGGCUGCUGGGCUAAGAUGAAUGUCCCAGCUUCUCCUGCAACUUGGAUGGCCACGGGACUAGAUUCUGGUCAAUGGGCAGAUGUAGAAAUGGUAUGUGCCAAUACCCAAGUCAUGUGUCACUGCUGAGAGCUGGGACAGCCAUUUAUAAUGAGAAGAAAGCUGCACAUUCAGGAGAAGAGAGCGACAAGACAGACCCAAGUCCCUAGGACAGGGGAGCUGCCAUAUUGGCCCAAUAGUGUUUACGUUUGGACUACACCAAGAAAGAGACAUUAACUCCUAUAUUGGCACUUUUGCUCUGAUUCCAAUUAUAGAUGCUAAACUUGUACUAUUAUUACUAUUGUUAUUAUUAUUAAUUUUUGAGACAGGGUCUGUGUCUGUUACCCAGGCUGGAGUGCAGUGGUGCAGUCUCAGCUCACUAUAGCCUCAACCUCCUAGGCUCACAGUGAUCCUCCCACCUCAGCCUCCCAAGUAGUAGUUGGGACUACAGGUAUGUGCCAACAUGCGCAGCUAAUUUUUGUAUUUUUUUGUAGAGAUGGGGUUUUGCCAUGUUUCCCAGGCUGGUCUUGAACUCCUGAGCUCGUGCAAUCUACCCACCUUGGCCUCUCAAAGUGCUGGGAUUAGAGGCCUGAGCCACCAUGCCCGGCCUAAACAUGGAUUUUAAAAGCACCUCAAAGUGUUUCUGGAAUGAAUGAUGAAUUCACAGAUCCAAGCCUGUGGAGGAGGCGGGGGAGUGGAAGAGGGAAAAAAGAAAAGGCAAGAAUGGAGACGAGAAUCAGGAACUCAGGCUGGGACUACCUGGGUCCCAGCAAAAGAGUUUAGACACAGCAAAGAGUUUAGAAUUGAACUGGCAGUACAUGCAGAAUUACUGAAACUUUUAAAUGUGAAAAUAUCUGUUGUUUUAUUAAGAAGUAGAAAAAAAAUUCCAGACUGUUGAGUCUAAAAAUAACCUGGUCAAUAGUUCAACUUCAGCAAGAAAUUGAAAGCUUUUGAGCUUGUAUACUUGUCUGUGAUAACUGUUCAUUUACUAAAUAAUCAAAUAAAGUCAACAAAAACUAGCUGCUUGGCUCAUGUAGCUAAAUUACAAACCUAAUGAAUUGCUAAAUUAGCUAUUUUGUUAUAAUACGAGAUAUCUUAAAAGCAAAAUAUUGAAAAGCGUUAAGAAGAGGCUCAAUGACAAAAAUCAACAAAUUAAAAGUAAUCAAAGGUAAAUGUAGAUAAUAUCGAUGGAAGAUAUAUGUUUUUAAAUCCAAGGGAUUUAUUCCUGGCCAGUCUUUUGAAAGUAUGAGGAUUAAUGUUUCUUUACUAUUCACUUUCUAUGUUACUAUUAGUUAGGAGUGGCAAGAACACAGUCAGAGUUAAACAUCAGAUGAAGUGCUUCCUUCAAGAAGAGAACUCUUUCAUAAUAAGAAAUGAAAGACCUAAAGAAGCCUUCUGUAGCAGAACUGAAGGUUUUUUGUCAGAAUUGACUCUGCUUAAGUGCUUCUGGCUUUUCUGUGGCUGCGAUUUUAGGAAAGAAGGGUCCGUCUUCUGACAGACACCUGCUUAAAUACUCAUUAGACUCUCCCUUCACAGUACGUCUGCAACUAUGAAGAGCCUAGGGUGCUUAAGUUGACCAAAAACUCUUGCUAAUUUCAGUAAAAACAAAAAAAGGACCAACUGUCUCUAUCCAUCCAUUCAGUCAACAAUAUCAACUGAGUGCUGCUCAUCAAGUGCGUGUCUCUGCUGGGCACCAGUAGGAAAACGACAAGUAAAACAACCAAUGUCCUUGCCUUCAAGGAGCUUAAAGUCCAGGGGGCAAGGCAAUUUGAAUCAAAUAAUCACAUAAGCAUAGAAUUACAAGCUAAUAAGAUCUUUGCAUGAAUGUACAGAAUACUAUGAGAAUGUAGAGGGGGUUGACAUCUUCGAGAAUUAGAAGGGUCAGAAAAGGUGUCUCUGGGGCACUGCUACCUGAGCUGAGGCUCAAGGGUGGGAAGGAGUUCACUAAAGGCAGGGAGAGGGAAGCUCUACGUGGUAGAAGGGAGAAGGCCCAGCUUAAGCAGUUGGAGAAUAAAGUAAGAGAGGGAGGAGAAGAUGAGGUUAGAGAGGCAGGUGAUUAUCAGGCAAGAUCAUGAGGGCCACGCUGGGGAUCUUUUCUCUUUCUACUAAGAGCAGUGGGAUUUCUUUCCCACAAGAGGCAUGAUCAGAUUUGUGCCAUUUAAAAUCCACUUUGGCAGGACAGUUGAAGACAGAUUGGAAGACGGCUAGAGAGAAGCCAGGGAGAUCAGCUAGGAAGUACUUUUACCCAAGCAAAAGAUGAUGCUCUCAUGCUAAGGAGCUGAAGAUGGGAGAUAAGGAAAAUGAAUGAAUCUAUUAGAUAUUGGGGAAUUCAAGUAGGUAAGUGCAAGGACAGAAACAGAAAAUGAAACCCAAUGUAAUACAUACACGUUCCCGUGUUCUCUCAUUCCUGAACAUUUCCAUGCAUUUCUGAAGUUCAGUCUUCAGUAAUCCGAUCUGUGAUAAACCUUUGUUUUCAUGUCAGUGCCAGUGUACUUCUAUUUCUUGGUCCAGUCCUCAUUUCUCUCCUUAGGGUCCUGAACAAAAUCUCUAUCUGGCUGCUUGCAGCUUCCACUGAACUCCACUUCUUUAGCCACCAAAAUGCACACUCUAUUUCAUUCCAGCUUCUACAGAACUGAAAACCUUUCUCUAAUUUUCCUUUAUUUCUCACCAAAGUGUCUGGGUUGUCUUUUGAUGUACGGGAUUUUUUUUGGUUUUUGUUUUGUUUUUCAGACCAACAA
RNAcentral lists this long non-coding RNA (3130 nucleotides) under Homo sapiens (human). Its description in RNAcentral is "HSALNT0356708". The record is from RNAcentral. Lineage: Eukaryota; Metazoa; Chordata; Mammalia; Primates; Hominidae.